RNAcentral lists this long non-coding RNA (307 nucleotides) under Olea europaea (common olive). Its description in RNAcentral is "long non-coding RNA (OEUR_LNC013979)". The record is from RNAcentral. Lineage: Eukaryota; Viridiplantae; Streptophyta; Magnoliopsida; Lamiales; Oleaceae.
CAAACUAAGGACUCUGUUGGGAUGAUACCGUUGAGUCACCGAGACUAGAUUUAGUCCCCAAUCAAGGUAAUGGCAGAUUCUUUUUGCAUGUUUAAUAGAUUGACUGGGUUGGACUUGCUUUCUUCCUUAACUUUGUCCACUACUGAUUAAUCUUUCCUAACUGCAGAGUUUGUGCGUGGAAACUUCUGAGUGAAUAAUUAGUUUUGGGUAUUGUAAGAUAUUUGAAUGCUUUCACAGUGAAAUAUUCACAAUACUGUUCUUGUAUGUACUUUAUUGUGCUAUGGAUUGUAAUGAAGCCUAUAAUUUG